AGGACGAACGCUGGCGGCGUGCUUAACACAUGCAAGUCGAGCGGAAAGGCCCUUCGGGGUACUCGAGCGGCGAACGGGUGAGUAACACGUGAGUAAUCUGCCCCUAGCUCUGGGAUAGCUCCGGGAAACCGGGAUUAAUACCGGAUACGACCACUUUAGACAUCUGUUGUGGUGGAAAGAAUUUUGGCUAGGGAUGAGCUCGCGGCCUAUCAGCUUGUUGGUGAGGUAACGGCUCACCAAGGCUACGAUGGGUAGCUGGUCUGAGAGGACGAUCAGCCACACUGGGACUGAGACACGGCCCAGACUCCUACGGGAGGCAGCAGUGGGGAAUCUUGCGCAAUGCGCGAAAGCGUGACGCAGCAACGCCGCGUGGGGAAGACGGCCUUCGGGUUGUAAACCCCUUUCAGUUGGGACGAAGCUUCGCCGGUGAAUAGCCGGUUGAAGUGACGGUACUUCAGAGAAGCCCCGGCUAACUACGUGCCAGCAGCCGC
Molecule: ribosomal RNA, 491 nt
Filed under: uncultured bacterium
Lineage: Bacteria
Description: SSU rRNA
Rfam family: Bacterial small subunit ribosomal RNA
Source: RNAcentral